AUUGAACGCUGGCGGCAUGCCUUACACAUGCAAGUCGAACGGCAGCACGGGUGCUUGCACCUGGUGGCGAGUGGCGAACGGGUGAGUAAUACAUCGGAACAUGUCCUGUAGUGGGGGAUAGCCCGGCGAAAGCCGGGUUAAUACCGCAUACGAUCUACGGAUGAAAGCGGGGGACCUUCGGGCCUCGCGCUAUAGGGUUGGCCGAUGGCUGAUUAGCUAGUUGGUGGGGUAAAGGCCUACCAAGGCGACGAUCAGUAGCUGGUCUGAGAGGACGACCAGCCACACUGGGACUGAGACACGGCCCAGACUCCUACGGGAGGCAGCAGUGGGGAAUUUUGGACAAUGGGCGAAAGCCUGAUCCAGCAAUGCCGCGUGUGUGAAGAAGGCCUUCGGGUUGUAAAGCACUUUUGUCCGGAAAGAAAUCCUUGGCUCUAAUACAGUCGGGGGAUGACGGUACCGGAAGAAUAAGCACCGGCUAACUACGUG
This 486-nucleotide ribosomal RNA is filed under the name uncultured bacterium. Its description in RNAcentral is "partial 16S ribosomal RNA". It matches the Rfam family "Bacterial small subunit ribosomal RNA", at positions 30 to 507 of the family's 1533-position model. The record is from RNAcentral.